GGCGAAGCCUGAUGGAGCACGCCGCGUGCAGGAUGAAGGCCUUCGGGUUGUAAACUGCUUUUAUAAGUGAGGAAUAUGACGGUAACUUAUGAAUAAGGAUCGGCUAACUACGUGCCAGCAGCCGCGGUCAUACGUAGGAUCCGAGCGUUAUCCGGAGUGACUGGGCGUAAAGAGUUGCGUAGGUGGUUUGUUAAGUAGAUAGUGAAAUCUGGCGGCUCAACCGUACAGGCUAUUAUCUAAACUGACAAACUCGAGAGUGGUAGAGGUUACUGGAAUUUCUAGUGUAGGAGUGAAAUCCGUAGAUAUUAGAAGGAACACCAAUGGCGUAGGCAGGUAACUGGACCAUUUCUGACACUAAGGCACGAAAGCGUGGGGAGCGAACCGGAUUAGAUACCCGGGUAGUCCACGCCGUAAACGAUGGAUACUAGCUGUUGGAGGUAUCGACCCCUUCAGUAGCGAAGCUAACGCGUUAAGUAUCCCGCCUGUGGAGUACGGUCGCAAGACUAAAACAUAAAGGAAUUGACGGGGACCCGCACAAGCGGUGGAUCGUGUUCUUUAAUUCGAUGCUAAACGAAGAACCUUACCAGGGCUUGACAUCCAGGGAAUUUUUGGGAAACCAAUUAGUGCCUUUUGGAACCCUGUGACAGGUGAUGCAUGGCCGUCGUCAGCUCGUGUCGUGAGAUGUUUGGUUAAGUCCAUCAACGAGCGCAACCCUUGUACUUAGUUGAAUUUUUCUAGGUAGACUGCCCCGGUAACGGGGAGGAAGGAGGGGAUGAUGUCAGGUCAGUAUUUCCCUUACGUCCUGGGCUAGAAACACGAUACAAUGGCAAGUACAAUGCGCAGCGAAGCCGCGAGGUGG
Molecule: ribosomal RNA, 859 nt
Filed under: uncultured bacterium
Lineage: Bacteria
Description: bacterial SSU rRNA
Rfam family: Bacterial small subunit ribosomal RNA
Source: RNAcentral